Non-coding RNA from Schizosaccharomyces pombe (fission yeast), 433 nucleotides. The record is from the annotation of a GenBank genome assembly. Lineage: Eukaryota; Fungi; Ascomycota; Schizosaccharomycetes; Schizosaccharomycetales; Schizosaccharomycetaceae.
AUUCAGAGGCGUCAGCAUUUGUGAUAUCAGCAUCCAAGUCGACUUCUUCAAUAUCGUGAUCUUCUACUUCUUCAUUAUCACCAUCCAUAUCGUCCAUUUCGCCUUCUUCAGGAAAGCUCCCACUUCCCAAUUCUUCUUCAUCCAACUCAGUGUCUUGAUUAGCCUCUUCGCGCUCUUGCUCUUCCAAAUCAAGCUGCUCUUGCAUAGACCUAUUUAAUCCAAUGGGCCGAAUAGUGCGAAAUCCAAACUGUUUAAUUGCAAGCUCCUAAGAUUCGUUCAAGUUAGACUUUUCUCAUGCACAGAAACUCGUUGAAAAUCGUAAACAAACAUACCUGAGUCUCCAGUCUAACUUCUUCCUUUUCCAAUUCUUUCAUAGAAGGAAAAGACGUAGGAUACCAUAGUUGAUGGGCUGUAUUAGCCAUCAACGACAUAA